UUUAAAAAACUUAUUCAGUGGCAUGUUGCUAGGAAGUGGGAGAGCCAGCGCUCAAAUCCAAACCCUCGGACUCCAAUGCCACUUUUAUUUCCAUUAGACCAAAGUUGUUGAGUUAAGGGGGUGUCUUCCCCAAGCAUGAGAAGACUUCUCCCUGGAGGAAUGGGUGGAUGAGAACAAUUUGUUCCUAUGACCAUGAAGGCAACUGAAGUAGGUGCUGUGAAGCACUUAGAACGUGGUUAGACAUCAGAGAAGUCAACGUCAUCUAUUGCAUUAUAAUGACUUCCAAUGCUUGGAAUGGUGGACUUGUUCACCAAGAUCAGUCCAUCUACUAGAGAGCAUCUCUGCAUUCCUGCUCUGCAAGCUUCUCAUCUUUCAUUCCUUGCCUUAUAGUACAUAGAUCUAGAAUUGGAAGUAGUCUUAAAGAAUUAUCAAGCCUGAUGCUUUCACUUUACAGUUUAGGAAACUGAGGCCCAGAGAAGUUGAGUUAUUUACGCAAGAUCACAAAAGUUUUAAGUGACAGUUCCAAGAUUUAAACCCAGGUCAUCUGAUUAUACAUCCAGCUCUUUUUUUUUCUCAUUAGACAGUCCCACCUCUUCUUCUAACUCUAGAUUUAAUAUUCUUUAUGUAGCACUAUUAUUUCAGUGAGAAAUAAUUCUCAACCAAAGUCAAAAGAAAAUUAUUCUUUCACACAUUGAGAUUAAGCUGCCCUAAAAUUCAUGUAUAAAGAGGCCUGGAAUUCAGUAGCUGCUGCAAAUCUGCCUGCAAAUAGCCAUAACCCAAAUCAUAGAAUCAUACAGAUUUUAGAAAAAGGAUGAACAGAAGCCAUGAAGGCCAACCCUCUCAUUUUACAGGUCUAGAGAAGAAAUGUAUCCAAGAUCACAAAGCAACCUCUAACACAGGAUUGGAUGGACAAGCGGCGAGUACUCAAGAAUUAUGAAUUGAUUGAUAGUGGAUUCUUUUCCUGGAAUGCUCUCAUGUCCAGUCCUGCCCUAUGGCAAGUAGAUGGAUGAGAUAACCUCUCAACAUCCCUUCCUUCCCUCUCCCUCCUCCCUUCUCCCUUCCCAGGCCUACAAAAAGGUUUGACAGCUCUAUCACCCCGAUGGCACUAUGUUCCAGCAAUUCAGAUCCCUACCUUGACUGAUUCUCAUUCUCCCGCUGAGGAUUUAAGAGUGAAAGAAAUUACGCCUGGCAAGUGCUUUUCAGAUAAAGAUGUGAUGUAAAUAUAAAUAACCUUGGAUUACCACACCAGUACUGGGCUAGCAAUGGGAAAACCAAGAUCUCAGGCCUUUUUGUCUUAUCAGUGAUUUUGGGGGUAGAGCCACAAAGGGCAGACAAUUGCAGGUAACGCUCUGCUUUGUAACAACUUUCUGUAACAACUCUGUUUCUGAAAAGUUUAUUGAUCAAAUUUGUAAAAAUGGCAUGAAUUAAAUAUUUUUAAAAUCACUGGUAAAAUUGCUAUUUAAAGAAACCCC
This 1472-nucleotide long non-coding RNA is filed under the name Monodelphis domestica (gray short-tailed opossum). Its description in RNAcentral is "lncRNA (ENSMODG00000047718.1)". Lineage: Eukaryota; Metazoa; Chordata; Mammalia; Didelphimorphia; Didelphidae. The record is from RNAcentral.